GAUGAACGCUGGCGGCGUGCCUAAUACAUGCAAGUCGAGCGAACAGAUGAGGAGCUUGCUCCUCUGACGUUAGCGGCGGACGGGUGAGUAACACGUGGAUAACCUACCUAUAAGACUGGGAUAACUUCGGGAAACCGGAGCUAAUACCGGAUAAUAUCUUUAACCGCAUGGUUCAAUAGUGAAAGACGGUUUUGCUGUCACUUAUAGAUGGAUCCGCGCCGCAUUAGCUAGUUGGUAAGGUAACGGCUUACCAAGGCAACGAUGCGUAGCCGACCUGAGAGGGUGAUCGGCCACACUGGAACUGAGACACGGUCCAGACUCCUACGGGAGGCAGCAGUAGGGAAUCUUCCGCAAUGGGCGAAAGCCUGACGGAGAAACGCCGCGUGAGUGAUGAAGGUCUUCGGAUCGUAAAACUCUGUUAUUAGGGAAGAACAAAUGUGUAAGUAACUAUGCACGUCUUGACGGUACCUAAUCAGAAAGCCACGGCUAACUACGUG
This 497-nucleotide ribosomal RNA is filed under the name uncultured bacterium. RNAcentral describes it as "partial 16S ribosomal RNA". It matches the Rfam family "Bacterial small subunit ribosomal RNA", at positions 28 to 507 of the family's 1533-position model. The record is from RNAcentral.